UUUUUUAUUCUACAUCCCUCCACCGACUGAUCCCUCUUUGUAUUUGUAUUUGUAUAUUUGUUUUUGUUGGUGGAAUGUUCAUGUGUUUCUCCUCUUUGGUUUCCACGUGUUAUGUUCCACCAUUCAGUGUCUAAUACCACUGCCUCGCUCUCCACUCAAGUUUCAUCCAUCGCUUCCACUGUCUACUUUCAUCUGCUUUUCUUUCUUCAUGAUCCCUUCCGUAUCUGUUGUUCGACUCUUUGAUUCCGCCAUAGCGAACGUCGGCCAGUCCGCGUCCACCACAUGGUUCUGUCCACCAACAAUCACAGCAAUAGAAGCAUGACCUCUUUCUUCCAUAUGUUUGGUAGUGUUGAGUAGGGUUGUGGAGGAGCUUAGGGAGAGGGGGUAAUGGCGAAGAUGACACCGCUAAGGCCGGAACAGAAGGUUAUUGGUUUCGAAUCAAGUCAGAAACUCCACCGCUUCUCCCUUUUUCUUCACCACCCAUUCAUCUUUUCCAUUUGAUACCUCCCACCGCUUUGCUCGCAAAACCCUUCAUCGACAUCCUGCUCUUUGCUCGCAAAUCCCCUUCAUCGACAUCUAACCACUGAUAUCAACACCGCCUCAUAUUACAACCGGUGUUUGCAGCCAUCCCGAUGACCCACCCCUUUUUUCUAAGCCCCAUUCGGUUGAAAUUCAGUGCCGUGUUUUUGAUUUAGGGCUUCAGAAGCUGGGUUUUGUUUGGUAAAUCAAUUAAAGCUUCUUACACUACCGGGAUCGAGAAUCGACCUACCGUAUCAACCCUUCUAAAUUGCCAUCAGGUAAUUUCAUUUGGAGGGAGACAGAAGGCGAGGGUCAUUACAACGACGAUGACGGUCGGUCCUAAUGGCUCAUCGGUGUCUCUUCGUUUCCCGAUCCAAACAAGAAGCACCAAGAUCUUUCUCUAUAAAUCGUCAAUCUGAUUCUCUGUUUAUGUUUUUAACUGUAUGUGCCUGUGUUUUUAACUACAUGUGUACGUCUUUCCUCAAUGGCUUUAAUCGUUUAAUCAAUUAUGGAGCACAAAGCAACUACAAAAGCUUUUUCCUUUAAAUAAAAUCCACCAAGGUAAAUUUCUUGAACACACAUAUGUUUUAAUUCCUGUGUUUGCAAAUUUAUAAUUUUUUUUUACAUCUGAGUUAGAGCUCUCAAUUAGUUGAAUCGUUAGUUUGAUUGUAUUGUUCUAUAAAUCAGCCAUUUGUAAUCUAUUAUUUUCAUAAAGAUAUUUGAAGGUUUUAUGGAGGAGGAGAAAAGGAAGAGGAUGAAUGAGUCGGAAUGUGAUUGCAUUUUUUUUGUUGUGAUAAAUGAAGGAUAUAACCUUACUGUCUUCACCCUUUAACUGAAGCUUUCUUAACCAUUUCAGCUAUAAACAAGAAUCGGAUUUACUAAAUUAUCUCAAAUAUGCAGGAUGAUAUGAGAAGCAACAACAAAUUUAUAUGAUAAUAAGAGGUAUGGUCGUAAAGGUUCUUUAAUGGGUAUGGAUGGAUUGUAGCUUUUUUAGCUGUAAGUGUAGUUGAAGCAGUCCAGGUGUCGGUGCCACCUCCUUUCUUCAAUUUGGACCUAUUUGGUUCGAUUGAUUGCUUUUUACAUGAGGGCAUGGCAAUGAUACAUCUCACAUUUGAUAUGGUUAAUCCUCCUGAGAUUGUAGGAGAGCUAACGUGGAGACAUAUUGGUUUUGUCAGGGAAACAAAAACUUUCAUGAAGUAGGGUUUUAACUUCAUAUUCACUCCAAACAUUUGCUGCUGUUGGCUAUGAAGGAUACAUCAUGUCCACAUGAAACCAGGAUUGAGCAAAGUUCCUGCUCUAAAAAGAUGAUGUAUUUAUGAAUGACCAAAUAGAUGUUCAGGUAGCACGACAUCUUCUUCAUUUCAUCAGGUUGUUGUAUAUGUUUAGAUGCUGUGUUUUUUGUGUGAGUAGACUGCUAUUUCUUGAAUAUAAUUAUCAAAAUUUGCUUCUGUCAUUAAAAGAUAGUAGUUUCUUUUCCAUUUUAGGUUUGUCUUAUGGUUUAUUACUUUUUUUAAAACAUUAAAUAUUAUUAUUUUAUGAAUAGGUGUUGAGGUUAGAUGUCCUGGAUGUUAUUUGUAAUAAUUAAACCUCACAUUCAAAUAUAAAGAGACAUAUGAUUCCUUACAUUACAUAAUUUCUAAAGACGAAUCCUACAGGGUAUGUCAUCUUGGUAAACAAUACCUUUUGCGUUCUUUAUUACCUCAACAUCUUACAAGUAGAUCAAUAAGUUAUUAGGUAAUUUGCUUUCUAAAGAGGUGUAAUUUGCAAUUUAAUUACUAUAGCGAACGUUAAACCCUAAACCAAAAUAAAUUUUUUUUAAAAAAAAAUGCGUUAGUUAAUUUGUGUUCAAUGUGAAGGUGUUAGAAACACUUAGAUGACCAACUUCAACAAAACCAAAAAUAUUUGCAAUGUUAAUUCAAUGAUCAGUGCCGAAUGCACCCUUGAAGAAACAUUUUUUAUUGUGAGAGAUAACAUUACUUUUGCAAGUGGAAGCCAAGGAAACAAUAUUUUGAUAUUCUGCCCCACCGUGUUUGUAAAUCGGAGAAUUACAAAGAAUAGCAACAUACUUUACUGUGGUUACCAAUUCAGGCAAUAUACAAUAGUUUCACACAAAUGCAACACCAUCCAAUCCCCACAACGCGGGGAACACCCUUCUAGUUAUAUUUAAUUUUAUUCACGUGUAAUUUGCAGGUAGAAGUCAUUCAAACUAUUGAGAUAAUGCAGUUAUACUAGAUGUAUAUAUAUUAUCAUAUAAUUC
Molecule: long non-coding RNA, 2776 nt
Organism: Lactuca sativa (garden lettuce)
Lineage: Eukaryota; Viridiplantae; Streptophyta; Magnoliopsida; Asterales; Asteraceae
Source: RefSeq, a predicted model, not a curated record